RNAcentral lists this transfer RNA (87 nucleotides) under Actinomadura sp. NBRC 104425. Its description in RNAcentral is "tRNA-Ser". It matches the Rfam family "tRNA". From Rfam's summary of the family: Transfer RNA (tRNA) molecules are approximately 80 nucleotides in length. Their secondary structure includes four short double-helical elements and three loops (D, anti-codon, and T loops). Lineage: Bacteria; Bacillati; Actinomycetota; Actinomycetes; Streptosporangiales; Thermomonosporaceae. The record is from RNAcentral.
GGAGGAUUCGCCUAGUGGCCUAGGGCGCACGCUUGGAAAGCGUGUUGGGGGCAACCCCUCGCGAGUUCGAAUCUCGCAUCCUCCGCC